AACGAACGCUGGCGGCAUGCCUAACACAUGCAAGUCGAACGAGACCUUCGGGUCUAGUGGCGCACGGGUGCGUAACGCGUGGGAACCUGCCCUUAGGUUCGGAAUAACUCCCCGAAAGGGGUGCUAAUACCGGAUAAUGUCUUCGGACCAAAGAUUUAUCGCCUUUGGAUGGGCCCGCGUUGGAUUAGCUAGUUGGUAGGGUAAAAGCCUACCAAGGCGACGAUCCAUAGCUGGUCUGAGAGGAUGAUCAGCCACACUGGGACUGAGACACGGCCCAGACUCCUACGGGAGGCAGCAGUGGGGAAUAGUGGACAAUGGGCGAAAGCCUGAUCCAGCAAUGCCGCGUGAGUGAUGAAGGCCUUAGGGUUGCAAAGCUCUUUUACCCGGGAUGAUAAUGACAGUACCGGGAGAAUAAGCUCCGGCUAACUCCGUGC
Molecule: ribosomal RNA, 434 nt
Filed under: uncultured bacterium
Lineage: Bacteria
Description: partial 16S ribosomal RNA
Rfam family: Bacterial small subunit ribosomal RNA
Source: RNAcentral